This is a long non-coding RNA of Asparagus officinalis (garden asparagus), 417 nucleotides long. RefSeq lists it as uncharacterized. Lineage: Eukaryota; Viridiplantae; Streptophyta; Magnoliopsida; Asparagales; Asparagaceae. The transcript is spliced from 2 exons. The record is from RefSeq and is a predicted model, not a curated record.
GGACGCGACGACGAGGGCUGCGGCCGCGGAUCGGGCCGCAAUGAGAACGCGGCGGGGCCCAGCGGAUGCUGUUCUCAUUGAUUGAGUUGGUUGAUGAAUUUGGAGAGCUUGAAGAUUAGCUGAUGGCUACAAACAAUUCACUGGUUUGAUCUAGUGUGAAUACAAAGCUUGACAUCAUUUUUGUUGAAAAAAAAAAAGAUUCUGCAGAUCUCUCAUCAGAUAGAUAGAACUGUUGCAUUGUAACUGGUUCAUGAAACCAAUCCAUCUUUGUACCCAUUGUUGUCAUACGUGUAUGUCGUAUUCCUUAAACCUCUUGAUUGUUGAUGUUGUAGUAAUGAUCUUGUUGUAAAUUUACUUUGCUCUCAUUUACUGGAAAUUGCCUGUCAAAAAACAUAAGUCCAAAGCUUCCUUUUGAUA